GUGGGGAAUUUUGGACAAUGGGGGAAACCCUGAUCCAGCCAUCCCGCGUGUGCGAUGAAGGCCUUCGGGUUGUAAAGCACUUUUGGCAGGGAAGAAAAGGCUCGGGCUAAUAACCUGGGCAAAUGACGGUACCUGCAGAAUAAGCACCGGCCAACUACGUGCCAGCAGCCGCGGUAAUACGUAGGGUGCAAGCGUUAAUCGGAAUUACUGGGCGUAAAGCGUGCGCAGGCGGUUCGGAAAGAAAGGUGUGAAAUCCCAGGGCUUAACCUUGGAACUGCACUUUUAACUACCGGGCUAGAGUACGUCAGAGGGGGGUAGAAUUCCACGUGUAGCAGUGAAAUGCGUAGAGAUGUGGAGGAAUACCAAUGGCGAAGGCAGCCCCCUGGGAUGAUACUGACGCUCAUGCACGAAAGCGUGGGGAGCAAACA
This 428-nucleotide ribosomal RNA is filed under the name uncultured bacterium. RNAcentral's name for it is "bacterial SSU rRNA". It matches the Rfam family "Bacterial small subunit ribosomal RNA", at positions 354 to 774 of the family's 1533-position model. The record is from RNAcentral.